This 665-nucleotide ribosomal RNA is filed under the name Burkholderia cenocepacia. Its description in RNAcentral is "bacterial SSU rRNA". It matches the Rfam family "Bacterial small subunit ribosomal RNA", at positions 61 to 719 of the family's 1533-position model. Lineage: Bacteria; Pseudomonadati; Pseudomonadota; Betaproteobacteria; Burkholderiales; Burkholderiaceae. The record is from RNAcentral.
GUCGAACGGCAGCACGGGUGCUUGCACCUGGUGGCGAGUGGCGAACGGGUGAGUAAUACAUCGGAACAUGUCCUGUAGUGGGGGAUAGCCCGGCGAAAGCCGGAUUAAUACCGCAUACGAUCUACGGAUGAAAGCGGGGGACCUUCGGGCCUCGCGCUAUAGGGUUGGCCGAUGGCUGAUUAGCUAGUUGGUGGGGUAAAGGCCUACCAAGGCGACGAUCAGUAGCUGGUCUGAGAGGACGACCAGCCACACUGGGACUGAGACACGGCCCAGACUCCUACGGGAGGCAGCAGUGGGGAAUUUUGGACAAUGGGCGAAAGCCUGAUCCAGCAAUGCCGCGUGUGUGAAGAAGGCCUUCGGGUUGUAAAGCACUUUUGUCCGGAAAGAAAUCCUUGGCUCUAAUACAGUCGGGGGAUGACGGUACCGGAAGAAUAAGCACCGGCUAACUACGUGCCAGCAGCCGCGGUAAUACGUAGGGUGCGAGCGUUAAUCGGAAUUACUGGGCGUAAAGCGUGCGCAGGCGGUUUGCUAAGACCGAUGUGAAAUCCCCGGGCUCAACCUGGGAACUGCAUUGGUGACUGGCAGGCUAGAGUAUGGCAGAGGGGGGUAGAAUUCCACGUGUAGCAGAAAUGCGUAGAAGAUGUGGAGGAAUACCCGAUGGCGAA